GAUUAAGUUAUUAAGGGCGCAUGGUGGAUGCCUUGGCACUAGAAGCCGAUGAAGGACGUUACUAACGACGAUAUGCUUUGGGGAGCUGUAAGUAAGCUUUGAUCCAGAGAUUUCCGAAUGGGGAAACCCAGCAUGAGUUAUGUCAUGUUAUCGAUAUGUGAAUACAUAGCAUAUCAGAAGGCACACCCGGAGAACUGAAACAUCUUAGUACCCGGAGGAAGAGAAAGAAAAUUCGAUUCCCUUAGUAGCGGCGAGCGAAACGGGAAGAGCCCAAACCAACAAGCUUGCUUGUUGGGGUUGUAGGACACUCUAUACGGAGUUACAAAGGACGACAUUAGACGAAUCAUCUGGAAAGAUGAAUCAAAGAAGGUAAUAAUCCUGUAGUCGAAAAUGUUGUCUCUCUUGAGUGGAUCCUGAGUACGACGGAGCACGUGAAAUUCCGUCGGAAUCUGGGAGGACCAUCUCCUAAGGCUAAAUACUCUCUAGUGACCGAUAGUGAACCAGUACCGUGAGGGAAAGGUGAAAAGCACCCCGGAAGGGGAGUGAAAUAGAACCUGAAACCGUGUGCUUACAAGUAGUCAGAGCCCGUUAAUGGGUGAUGGCGUGCCUUUUGUAGAAUGAACCGGCGAGUUACGAUUUGAUGCAAGGUUAAGCAGUAAAUGUGGAGCCGUAGCGAAAGCGAGUCUGAAUAGGGCGUUUAGUAUUUGGUCGUAGACCCGAAACCAGGUGAUCUACCCUUGGUCAGGUUGAAGUUCAGGUAACACUGAAUGGAGGACCGAACCGACUUACGUUGAAAAGUGAGCGGAUGAACUGAGGGUAGCGGAGAAAUUCCAAUCGAACCUGGAGAUAGCUGGUUCUCUCCGAAAUAGCUUUAGGGCUAGCCUCAAGUGAUGAUUAUUGGAGGUAGAGCACUGUUUGGACGAGGGGCCCCUCUCGGGUUACCGAAUUCAGACAAACUCCGAAUGCCAAUUAAUUUAACUUGGGAGUCAGAACAUGGGUGAUAAGGUCCGUGUUCGAAAGGGAAACAGCCCAGACCACCAGCUAAGGUCCCAAAAUAUAUGUUAAGUGGAAAAGGAUGUGGCGUUGCCCAGACAACUAGGAUGUUGGCUUAGAAGCAGCCAUCAUUUAAAGAGUGCGUAAUAGCUCACUAGUCAAGUGACACUGCGCCGAAAAUGUACCGGGGCUAAACAUAUUACCGAAGCUGUGGAUUGUCCUUUGGACAAUGGUAGGAGAGCGUUCUAAGGGCGUUGAAGCAUGAUCGUAAGGACAUGUGGAGCGCUUAGAAGUGAGAAUGCCGGUGUGAGUAGCGAAAGACGGGUGAGAAUCCCGUCCACCGAUUGACUAAGGUUUCCAGAGGAAGGCUCGUCCGCUCUGGGUUAGUCGGGUCCUAAGCUGAGGCCGACAGGCGUAGGCGAUGGAUAACAGGUUGAUAUUCCUGUACCACCUAUAAUCGUUUUAAUCGAUGGGGGGGACGCAGUAGGAUAGGCGAAGCGUGCGAUUGGAUUGCACGUCUAAGCAGUAAGGCUGAGUAUUAGGCAAAUCCGGUACUCGUUAAGGCUGAGCUGUGAUGGGGAGAAGACAUUGUGUCUUCGAGUCGUUGAUUUCACACUGCCGAGAAAAGCCUCUAGAUAGAAAAUAGGUGCCCGUACCGCAAACCGACACAGGUAGUCAAGAUGAGAAUUCUAAGGUGAGCGAGCGAACUCUCGUUAAGGAACUCGGCAAAAAGACCCCGUAACUUCGGGAGAAGGGGUGCUCUUUAGGGUUAACGCCCAGAAGAGCCGCAGUGAAUAGGCCCAAGCGACUGUUUAUCAAAAACACAGGUCUCUGCUAAACCGUAAGGUGAUGUAUAGGGGCUGACGCCUGCCCGGUGCUGGAAGGUUAAGAGGAGUGGUUAGCUUCUGCGAAGCUACGAAUCGAAGCCCCAGUAAACGGCGGCCGUAACUAUAACGGUCCUAAGGUAGCGAAAUUCCUUGUCGGGUAAGUUCCGACCCGCACGAAAGGCGUAACGAUUUGGGCACUGUCUCAACGAGAGACUCGGUGAAAUCAUAGUACCUGUGAAGAUGCAGGUUACCCGCGACAGGACGGAAAGACCCCGUGGAGCUUUACUGUAGCCUGAUAUUGAAAUUCGGCACAGCUUGUACAGGAUAGGUAGGAGCCUUUGAAACGUGAGCGCUAGCUUACGUGGAGGCGCUGGUGGGAUACUACCCUAGCUGUGUUGGCUUUCUAACCCGCACCACUUAUCGUGGUGGGAGACAGUGUCAGGCGGGCAGUUUGACUGGGGCGGUCGCCUCCUAAAAGGUAACGGAGGCGCUCAAAGGUUCCCUCAGAAUGGUUGGAAAUCAUUCAUAGAGUGUAAAGGCAUAAGGGAGCUUGACUGCGAGACCUACAAGUCGAGCAGGGUCGAAAGACGGACUUAGUGAUCCGGUGGUUCCGCAUGGAAGGGCCAUCGCUCAACGGAUAAAAGCUACCCCGGGGAUAACAGGCUUAUCUCCCCCAAGAGUUCACAUCGACGGGGAGGUUUGGCACCUCGAUGUCGGCUCAUCGCAUCCUGGGGCUGUAGUCGGUCCCAAGGGUUGGGCUGUUCGCCCAUUAAAGCGGUACGCGAGCUGGGUUCAGAACGUCGUGAGACAGUUCGGUCCCUAUCCGUCGUGGGCGUAGGAAAUUUGAGAGGAGCUGUCCUUAGUACGAGAGGACCGGGAUGGACAUACCUCUGGUGUACCAGUUGUCGUGCCAACGGCAUAGCUGGGUAGCUAUGUGUGGACGGGAUAAGUGCUGAAAGCAUCUAAGCAUGAAGCCCCCCUCAAGAUGAGAUUUCCCAACUUCGGUUAUAAGAUCCCUCAAAGAUGAUGAGGUUAAUAGGUUCGAGGUGGAAGCAUGGUGACAUGUGGAGCUGACGAAUACUAAUCGAUCGAAGACUUAAUCAA
RNAcentral lists this ribosomal RNA (2924 nucleotides) under Staphylococcus aureus. Its description in RNAcentral is "23S ribosomal RNA". It matches the Rfam family "Bacterial large subunit ribosomal RNA". Lineage: Bacteria; Bacillati; Bacillota; Bacilli; Caryophanales; Staphylococcaceae. The record is from RNAcentral.